AUUGAACGCUGGCGGCAUGCUUUACACAUGCAAGUCGAACGGUAACAGGGUGCUUGCACCGCUGACGAGUGGCGAACGGGUGAGUAAUGCGUCGGAACGUGCCGAGUAGUGGGGGAUAACGCAGCGAAAGUUGCGCUAAUACCGCAUACGUACUGAGGUAGAAAGUGGGGGACCUUCGGGCCUCACGCUAUUCGAGCGGCCGACGUCUGAUUAGCUAGUAGGUGAGGGAAAGGCUAACCUAGGCGACGAUCAGUAGCGGGUCUGAGAGGAUGAUCCGCCACACUGGGCCUGAGACACGGCCCAGACUCCUACGUGAGGCAGCAGUGGUGAAUUUUGGACAAUGGGCGAAAGCCUGAUCCAGCCAUGCCGCGUGUCUGAAGAAGGCCUUCGGGGUGUAAAGGACUUUUGUCAGGGAGGAAAUCCCUAGUGCUAAUAACACUGGGGGAUGACAGUACCUGAAGAAUAAGCACCGGCUAACUACGUGCCAGCCGCCGCAGUAA
This 500-nucleotide ribosomal RNA is filed under the name uncultured bacterium. Its description in RNAcentral is "partial 16S ribosomal RNA". It matches the Rfam family "Bacterial small subunit ribosomal RNA", at positions 30 to 523 of the family's 1533-position model. The record is from RNAcentral.